GAAUAUCAUUAAGAGUUCCGUGAAAGUCACGGAUGCCAACCGAUCCUUCGCAGGGCACGGUGGAAAAAAAAGAUGAGAGGCUCGCACCUAAAAACAAAUAGCGAAUCC
This 108-nucleotide non-coding RNA is filed under the name unclassified sequences. Its description in RNAcentral is "SAM-I-IV sequence". It matches the Rfam family "SAM-I/IV (S-adenosyl methionine) riboswitch aptamer". From Rfam's summary of the family: It is found upstream of a number of genes which code for proteins involved in methionine or cysteine biosynthesis. The record is from Rfam by way of RNAcentral.